Molecule: long non-coding RNA, 1330 nt
Organism: Neofelis nebulosa (Clouded leopard)
Lineage: Eukaryota; Metazoa; Chordata; Mammalia; Carnivora; Felidae
Exons: 2
Source: RefSeq, a predicted model, not a curated record
AAGCAUGACUGUACCGUCUUACAGAUGUGGAAACUGAGACAGUGAGUGGCUUGCCACAGGCCUCACAGAGAAGAGGGUGGUGUGGUCCAGAGGCACUGUAUGGAAAGUCAAAAGCAACAGACUCAGGUUUGGGUCCUCAAACCAUCCUCCCCUGUCAACAUUCCUUCCGAGAGCCGUGUGAGCUGGACAAGCCAUUUCAUCCCUCCAAGGACAGUUUCUCCAUCAAAAGAGAAGACCUACAAAUAACUCUGGUCUAGGGCUACCGUGAGAUAGUGAAGCUCUGUGGAGUGAAUGGCCCUAGGCACUUUGCAGAACGUUUAUCCGGUCUUUACCUCCAGCCGGUCCUGGGGUUGGGGCGGGGAUAAGGAAGGAAGCCCGAGGGAAGGAAGCGCUGUGGAAGAAGGGAGAGCCAGCUGGUCACCACGGUUUGUUUUCUCACCUGAGUCCCCAGCCCUCCCCUAGCCUGGCCUCUCUCACCUGCUCAGGUAAAGAGGUAGGGGGAGCCUCGCUCAGCCAAUCAACGGCAAUUAUUCUCUUAAAGGCACCCAGCAGCUGGCAGGGAAACCAGCCAUGCCACCUGGAGAGCUCCCUGCUGGGGGCCAGAGGCAGCUGUGCAAUUUAGGUGUACUUAAGCCCUCCAUGGCCACUCUGUGACCCCAGGGCCUGGUCGUUUCAUGUCCGGGAGAGUGCUUUCUUCAGAGACGCCUCCUUCGCCUGGCCCAGAGCUGGCUUUCCAGAAGGCUCCCAUGCUUAGCUGCCCUGGCAGACGCCCAGGGAGGAAAGACAGCGUGGCCUUUGGCAACUGCUCGGCAGGAAGGAGCCCAGAGGUGUGAGGGAGAAGCCAUUUCCCUGUCCUGACCCCCUUCGGCAAACCCUGGUGGGGUCCUGAGGCCUGGAACAAUGAAGUGGAUAUUCUCAUAGAUACCAGCGAGCCCACCCCCUAGAUUCCCAGCCCUGUGUGUUUGGGCUGGGCCCCACUAUCUCUUUUGCAAACAAAUCGAUCAACACAAAGAACAGAGUCCAAGAAGAUCUAAAAACAAUAAUAACAACAAGAACACUUCACAGGUAGCAGUUAACAGAAACCGACAUUAUCACCUUCACUCUAUUAAUGCUUAUGGUUUUCUCAACAGCCUGAUGAGGGUUCUCCCUAUUUUGCAGAAGAUGAACAGAGGCACAGCGAGGGGUCAUGGCUUGCUCAGGCUCACAUAGCAAGUAGGUUACAGAGCUGGGAUUCUGCAAACCCCCUGGCUUACAGCCCAGGCUUUUUGCCCCUAUGCUACACUGCCUCGUGUUCCACCAACCAUCUGAUUAAAGGACUUCCUAAAGCUGU